GGUGGGAUUCGUACUGGCU
This 19-nucleotide unclassified non-coding RNA is filed under the name Dictyostelium discoideum. Lineage: Eukaryota; Evosea; Eumycetozoa; Dictyosteliales; Dictyosteliaceae. The record is from RNAcentral.